AAAAAAUGCGCUAAAUUUAAUUCACAAAAUGGAACUUGGUUUUUUGCAAUCCUUAAACUGAGUUUUGAGUAAAAUUUCUUGACCGUGCAGCUACACGGAAAAUUUCGCCGCACCCUAUUUCUCGUUCGUAAAAUUUUGUAAACAGGACGUGCGAACUGUCACCACAAAAGGGAGAAUACGUCAUCGUGAAUCGACCCAUUUUAGCAGCGCUCUCCAUUUUUUUUUCUGCUGUCAGCAUCGCACGCGUGGCUGAAAUUGUAAACAAAAAAUUCUCCCGGAAAAGUGUUACCAUUUUGCGCCGGUGAUGAUGAAUCUAGAUUAAUCAUGGGUGCGGUAGGCAACGGUUCCGGUGGUGCGAGCGCGCAGGAGAAUUCAUCCAUUCUUUAAAAAAAUGUUAAGUCCCCUUUUUUCCGGAGUGACAAGUGCCAGCACCCAAUUAAAGGACAACCACGGGGCAGCAGCGCCAAGAAAGGUUCAGCAGUGCUGCGGCAACACGAAGUAGGAUGGAUCGGAAUUGCCAUCGCAUUUGGUACGGAAGUGCUGCAAGAUUGGGAACAUCCGGAAGGUGUAUCGAUCAACAACCGCAGUAUUUUAAUGAUGAAUCUGAAUGUAAUAAUAAUCAUGUUUAAUGAAAUAAAUUAGUAAACCAAA
This is a long non-coding RNA of Uranotaenia lowii, 651 nucleotides long. RefSeq lists it as uncharacterized. The record is from RefSeq and is a predicted model, not a curated record. NCBI's taxonomy places the organism in Eukaryota, Metazoa, Arthropoda, Insecta, Diptera, Culicidae. The transcript is spliced from 2 exons.